Molecule: long non-coding RNA, 284 nt
Filed under: Elaeis guineensis (African oil palm)
Lineage: Eukaryota; Viridiplantae; Streptophyta; Magnoliopsida; Arecales; Arecaceae
Description: long non-coding RNA (EGUI_LNC004641)
Source: RNAcentral
UUGUAGGAAUUUUUGCAAAAUCUACCAUAGUCCCCUCGUUGGCACGACAGACUAUAGCUAGCUAAGAAUCCAAUGUGUUGUAGGACUCUAUCCAAUUUUCAAAUAGCUUGCUAAUAAUAAAUUAUUUAGCUAUUUACGUCUUCCUAUAAGAUGCCUCGCACUGUUAUGUAUCACGUACAUAAAUUUCAUAGGCUAAUAUGGAUAUGAAUAUCUCUGUUCUAACUGAUCCUCUAAUGAUAUUGGUAAUCAUGCGUGCAUCAAGCUAUGGAUGAUAUCGCAUCACA